Rhipicephalus microplus (southern cattle tick) is the source of this 1049-nucleotide long non-coding RNA. The record is from RefSeq and is a predicted model, not a curated record. NCBI's taxonomy places the organism in Eukaryota, Metazoa, Arthropoda, Arachnida, Ixodida, Ixodidae.
CGACAGAAAUGGAUUAAAGCAGUGCGCCGAAAAAAGCUUCUAUCCAUAAAGCUUCUGAGGGCGCAUCGGAGCGGCCUAUCUACAAAAGGCUGAUUGUAAAGGGCGUGAUCACCAGGUGCGGGACUCAACUGGUGUUCCUAGGCGGAACUGCCGCUCUUACGAAUGAUCAAGCUCCAACGGCGGCUCCAUGGAAGGGCUGUUCUGGCAAAUUACGCAUCUCGUUCAUGCUACACAUGCCCGGUUUAUUCGGAGCCAUAAUCGCCUCAGAGCAAUCCAGGCAGCAUAUAGCAUCAGCUUAAGUACUAAAGCCACUUCUUGUGUGAUUGCAGGUACCAUGCAGCCGCCCUUGAGCGAGUGUACGAACACCGUGUACUUAUGGAACAGCUGGCUUACGUGCAAGAAAUCGACGAGGUAGGAGUGGCCUUGGCGGUUCGACACCAGCUCGCACGCAUCGAGGGUCUUGAAGACUUCAUGCGAUACGCUGGCGUCGUCAAGGAGCGAGUGGACUUCCACCCAAGCCAGGAUGGGAGUGCUCAACUAGACGUCCUCAACGAAGACUGCUGGCGUCUCGUGAGACGUUACUUGAUGUUGGACGACGUCAAGGAGCCGUCAGUAUGACCGGCGCAAGACUCGGAUGGCUCCAACCUUUUGUAACAGUUCAAGUUGGCGGGGAAUGUAGGUAGGAGUGGCCUUGGCGGUUCGACACCAGCUCGCACGCAUCGAGGGUCUUGAAGACUUCAUGCGAUACGCUGGCGUCGUCAAGGAGCGAGUGGACUUCCACCCAAGCCAGGAUGGGAGUGCUCAACUAGACGUCCUCAACGAAGACUGCUGGCGUCUCGUGAGACGUUACUUGAUGUUGGACGACGUCAAGGAGCCGUCAGUAUGACCGGCGCAAGAAUCGGAUGGCUCCAACCUUUUGUAACAGUUCAAGUUGGCGGGGAAUGUGGCGAUAAAAAAAGCAGCAACCUUCAGGGUUCUUGAAAUAUGCAGCAUGCCUUAAGCCACCUCAUGCCAAUAAAUACCACUUGUGGCUUUCCCAAGCGCAAAAA